Long non-coding RNA from Brienomyrus brachyistius, 4648 nucleotides. RefSeq lists it as uncharacterized. NCBI's taxonomy places the organism in Eukaryota, Metazoa, Chordata, Actinopteri, Osteoglossiformes, Mormyridae. The transcript is spliced from 3 exons. The record is from RefSeq and is a predicted model, not a curated record.
UCCAAGGUCUACAGAAGGCUCAGCUGCACCACCAGUAUCGCUCCGGUCCCAGCUGCACUUUGGGCCUCGGACGGAGGAUACAAACCUGGUAAUCCUCUGCUUACAUAGUAAUCUUGGGGAAGAGUUAGGACAACAAAAGUGGCCUGAACGACAAACACGAAUGGAGCUACAACGUUUCCAGCAGUCAGCUGAAGGAGGACCAGAGAAACCAGCUUCAGUUGCACCUCAGACUGUCCAGAAGCUCAGUGAUACCCUGGUCCAGAUCUGAGAGGAGAUCCCCCAGGACACCAUCCAUCGUCUCAUUAGGAGCAUAUAGUACUCCAACGUUGUCAGGUAAUUGCAGACCAAAGUUGAAGUCCAAAAGAUGGCAGACUUGCCAGUGGACCGAGUCACUCCAGACCUACCACCCUUUUCCCAUGGAGCUAUUGACUACUUUAGGCCUAUCGAGAUAAAAAGGGGUUGUUCCCUUGUGAAGAUAUGGGGAGUGAUCUUCACCUAUUUGGCGAGCAAAGCCAUUCAUCUGGAAGUGGCGAGUAUGUUGGACACAGACGGCGAUUCCUGUGUCGGCGAGGGCCAGUACUCUCCAUCAGAACUGACUGUGGCACUGACUUUAUGGGUGCACAGAAGGCAUUACAGACUGCUGCACACCAACUAGACCAUCACAAAGUUUAUGACACUCUGAUGACCCAACAUGUCAAAUCACUGUUUAACCCUCCCUUUGCAGCCCACUUUGGAGGUGUGUGGGACAGACUAAUAAAAUUAGUAAAAAGGUACUCUUACAGUGCUAAAGCAACAAACACUGGACGACGAGAUAUUGCACACAGCCCAGUGUGAAGUCGAAUCCAUCCUUAAUGACCGCCCAAUAACAAACAUAUCCAGUGACCCUAAUGACCUUGAACCACUGACUCCGAAUCACCUUCUACAGUCAAACACCAAACCACCGUUGCCUCCUGGACUCUUUGACAGAGAGGAUUUGUAUAGUAGAAGGCAAUGGAGACAUUUACAAUAUAAUACUCUGUUAGACUGCUGAAAACCUCACUCUUCUGCAGCAACGGCAGAAAUGGACUGAUACCAAAAGGAACUUUAAACAGAAUGACAUAGUAGUCAUAGUGGACCCAAUGACACCAAGAAGCCCCUGGCCUUUUAGGCCAGGUGGUGAAGACCCUGCCUGGGCCAGAAGGACUUGUCCGCAGUGUCUUGGUGAAGACCAAGCCCAACCUCAUCCAGAGGCCUAUCGACAAGCAUUGUUUGCUCUUCAAAGCUGAGUUGUCAGCUUGAAGGUCUGGCUUCCUUAGCCAGGCUUAUGUCCCAUGCCCUGCAUGCAUUCACAUAUACUGACAAACUUACAGAUUUGAAUUUGCAUGCUCACACACCAGCACACUGACACUUGAUGGGCUCUCAUAAGCCAAUGGACUGGCUAUAGACAGUUUUGCACACACUCAUGGACUUUAGGAGUUUUGGGGAUUUAAACAAAAAGAUAAAAUGCAUUGACACUAUUGAUUACUGUUAUUUACCGAUUUGAAUUGUACUGAUAUCCAUCCAUCCAUUUUCCAAACCGCUUAUCCUACUGGGUCGCGGGGGGCCCGGAGCCUAUCCCGGAAUCAAUGGGCACGACGCAGGGAACAACCCAGGAUGGGGGGCCCAUCACAGGGUACACUCACACACCAUGCACUCACACAUACACACCUAUGGGCAAUUUAGCAACUCCAAUCAGUCUCAGCAUGUUUUUGGACUGUGGGGGGAAACCGGAGUACCCGGAGGAAACCCCACGACGACAUGGGGAGAACAUGCAAACUCCACACACACACGUAACCCAGGUGGAGACUUGAACCUGGGUCCCAGAGGUGUGAGGCAACAGUGCUAACCACUGCACCACCAUGCCGCCCCCAGUACUGAUAUCAUUUAACUUAUGUUUUGAUUAAUAUAUUUUAUGGCUCCGUUUUUGUAUAUAUUUGAUAAUUCUCCUCCCUUAACAUUGACAAUUAGGGGCCCGAGUGUAGGACCCUUAUUUGUGAUCGUGGUAAACUUACCAUGUGAUCGAUUACUUACCGGUCAUGUGGUAUGUAGACACACCUCCUGACGCGCCUGUGACACGAACGCAGCGCUUUAAUUGGUUGAUACAGAGCACUGGAGAGGUUAGAUGGUGAAGCAGAACAGUUUCUUGACCACAAACGAAAGGAAAUAUUACUCUGUGGAAUACUUGUUUUGCUGCUUUAUUUUGUCUUUCAUCCUUUGUUCACAACCUGAAAGUCAGUCGGAUUGUUUUAAUGGAAUAAAUCACCUUUUAACUUAAUUUACUCUCCGUGCGUGCUCUAUCUGGAUUGUGUGUCGGGAACCUUUUCCAUCAACCUCACGUGGCAACUUUUGUUUGAACUGCCACUUCAACAUUUCUACGGAAUGCUACGGCUAAAUAGAUAUGUGUAGUGUAUUAUCACGUAUAACCAAAUCAGGUUUAUGCCAUUGAGCUAUCUCGAGAAAAACGAACUGAUUUAAAUAAUGUUAUUGGCAUGUAUUUUAUGUAUAAUUAUGUCUGUUUGACAAUGUCUUGGGCUAAUUCAGACCUGUGCAGAAAAGACACGGCGUCUGCUAUUAAUUACGUCCCUACGCGGUCAGACCCGCAGCUUUAGAAGUGUCAUAAUUUUUUUACGCUUUUCAACAAAACUGCCCUCCAUCAACCCUUGGUACUCACUGACGCCCCCUAGUGGUCGCCUCCGGUCAAGAACCACUACUCUAAAAGACGCUUAAAUGGUCCAUGUAUUCUCCGUAUUCAAUAAAUACUUAAGACCUUCGGUACAAUUUACGCUCAUAUUUAUUUAUUUAACGGGCGGGUUUGUCCAAAGUGACGCACAAAUGAAGUAGAUUAAACAGUAAUAAUUUAAGUUCAUAGACAAAUCAUCAAACGGAAAUAGAAAUAACAAUAUUAAAAAAAUAUUAAAUUAAAUUCGGAGUUCCGAUUAAUCUACCCAGUCAGAAAAUAGGUAUGAGUAGUUUCCUGUUAACACUAAACAUUUUUCAAACAUUCAUCAAAUAUGAAGUUGUAAUGAAAAAGUCAUGUACAACGUGUUACAAGAUUUAAAUGGUCCAUUAAAACCGACAAUAGGCAUACUCUCUGCCAUCAAAUUAAUAUGAAUAAUUAAUUUUUAAGGAAAAUGAAUAUUAAUAGAAUAUCUAUUCUUCAUGAUUAUUUAUAAUUUAGGCUAAAUAUCUAUUACAACUUUCAAGAAAAGGCAGAAGCAAAAUCUAAGCUUUUUGUUAUACAAGCCCGUCCAUCUUUCUCUGCUGCAGCUAAGCAGGUUAGAUGAGGUUAACUAGAUAACCAGCGAUUUUAUUGAAGCGGAGGCUGGAGCGAACCUAGGCUCCGGAGAUCCUCCCGAUCCUGGGCGGCUAGAUGAGCCGUGCAGUUGUAAGGCUGCCACAUGCAUUCACUUAACCACUAGCUUAUUUUUUCUUUAACACUUUAUGUACCGUGUGUUAACGUUAAACGUGACACGUUUUGGAAAUCGCUGUUAUGUACACUGCAGUAGUGACAAGCAGUUACUUCGCUCAUGCACGGUAUCAAACGCUGCGCUGAGCCAUUGAAAGUGACGUCUAGCCUGCGCUAUUUUAAUACCCAUUUCUUGCUUUUAGGAACCCGUUACCAAGGUAACUGUCCAGUGACCAACCCUCCCCCUUCAAUCCGCAGCUCUGUAUUUAAGAAGCCUAUAAAAAACAUCCACUAUUCCUCAAAAGCCGUUUUUAUCAUUAUAUAUUUUUUAAUGAUAAUUUUAAAUAUUGUUGGUGACGUGUUUAUGCUUUUCCUUGUAAUUAUGCCUUGGGAAACAAAGUCCCAGGUGGGCUUUCGAUGGGGGAGAUGGCGGAGACGUCACCCAAUAAUGGCCCAAACAGUGGUAUAACAGCGGUGCUGAACUGGCUAAACACUUUCAAUAUCAUCUGACAUUAUCAUUUUAAAAUUAUUAAUGCCCCGCAACCGCCAUACUGAUUAUUCACUUCAGCAAUGUCGGGGACCCACUGACCGUUUUUUUUUUUUUAGUAAAAAUGUGGACAUUCUAGCAGGGAUCUUGAAGGAAGCAAAAAUGUAGAGCAGCGUUGGGGCCCCAAGGAUCGGAUUGGGAAAUACUGCAAUACAGGACCACAGUGAGACUGAAACCUCUCACAGUGGGUACAGGGCACCAGAAAGGGUAUACAAUCUACAGCAGGGGUGGCCAAUCUUAUCCACAAAGGGCUGCUGGGUAUCCAGGUUUUUAGGAUAACCUAGGAUAAGAUGGCCCAGCCCUGCUCUACAGGAUGCCAGUCCAUCACAGCCUACACACAAAGAUCAGUUCAGAGACCUUCAUUCCCCCAACUGCAUGUUUUGCGACCGAGACCUGCAGACUGCUAAACACAGGUUUGAGCAUAAUGGCAUCAGAUGAUUUCCAUCGAGAUGUCCAACAGAAAAGUGAUCAUCUGGGCUGUGAUACAAUCCUAUGUAUAUGUUGGUAUACAUUUUUUCCCCUUGCUUCUUGCAUAAUGUGUGUGACUCAAUGUGUUACAGAGCUGUGCUUAUGCUCAGGAGGUUCUUGGUUCAAAUCCCUGGGCUGGGUUUGUGGGUUUACUGUUCUCCCAUGUCACUUUACGUAAUUGCAUCUGCUAAAUGACAAAAACUGUGCAA